UGGGGCAUGGCUCAGUGGCAGAGCACUUGCCUGACAUGUGCAAGGCCCUGGGUUCCAUCCCCAGCACACCAC
RNAcentral lists this transfer RNA (72 nucleotides) under Fukomys damarensis (Damara mole-rat). It matches the Rfam family "tRNA". From Rfam's summary of the family: Transfer RNA (tRNA) molecules are approximately 80 nucleotides in length. Their secondary structure includes four short double-helical elements and three loops (D, anti-codon, and T loops). Further hydrogen bonds mediate the characteristic L-shaped molecular structure. tRNAs have two regions of fundamental functional importance: the anti-codon, which is responsible for specific mRNA codon recognition, and the 3' end, to which the tRNAs corresponding amino acid is attached (by aminoacyl-tRNA synthetases). tRNAs cope with the degeneracy of the genetic code in two manners: having more than one tRNA (with a specific anti-codon) for a particular amino acid; and 'wobble' base-pairing, i.e. permitting non-standard base-pairing at the 3rd anti-codon position. The record is from Rfam by way of RNAcentral. Lineage: Eukaryota; Metazoa; Chordata; Mammalia; Rodentia; Bathyergidae.